RNAcentral lists this ribosomal RNA (684 nucleotides) under uncultured fungus. RNAcentral describes it as "eukaryotic LSU rRNA". The stretch from base 179 to 333 matches the Rfam family "5.8S ribosomal RNA". The record is from RNAcentral. Lineage: Eukaryota; Fungi.
AGGAUCAUUAUCGAAUUAUUUGCGAGGGUUGUCGCUGGCCUCGAAGGAGGCGUGUGCACGCCCGAACUCUUAAAUCCACACCAGACCUGUGAUCCCACCGUAUGCCUUCGGGCUUAUGUAUCAGAUACUCUGAAUGUGUCAUACAAUGUUCAUGUUGCCUUAAAACGCAUUCAGAUACUACUUUCAGCAACGGAUCUCUUGGCUCUCGCAUCGAUGAAGAACGCAUCGAAAUGCGAUAAGUAAUGUGAAUUGCAGAUUUUCAGUGAAUCAUCGAAUCUUUGAACGCACCUUGCGCUCCUUGGUAUUCCGAGGAGCAUGCCUGUUUGAGUGUCAUUAAAUUCUCAACCCCACCGAUUUGCUUCGGGGGGAUUGGACUUGGAGCGUGCUGGCCAAAGUCGGCUCCUCUUUAAAUGCAUCAGUGGAGAGAAACUUGCCCCAGUGUGAUAAUCCUGUUGCGCUGUGGUGGGUGAAAGUCUGCUUCCAACCGUCCCUCCGGGGACAUACGUCAUCUUAUUUUGACCUCAAAUCAGGUAGGACUACCCGCUGAACUUAAGCAUAUCAAUAAGCGGAGGAAAAGAAACUAACAAGGAUUCCCCUAGUAACUGCGAGUGAAGCGGGAAAAGCUCAAUUUAAAAUCUGGCGGUCGCUAUGGCCGUCCGAGUUGUAAUCUGGAGAACUUUUUCC